UGCUAAGAGUCAAAACCAAACCAUCCCCUUCCCCCAGAUUCCUAAAACAUUUCAUGGAUGCGUGUAGCCUUAAGACAUGGUGAGACUGCAGAGACUUGAGCAACCGUAUCUGUAAUGAUCAUUGACAUUCAAAAUUAUCUGCAUCCCUAAUAGGACUGAAAAAAUAUAGAGUUUUUGAGUCUGCUCUGGCAGUCUUCCAAAAAGGUCCUUAAGCUUUAGAUAACAGAAAGUAUCUUCCAUACUUAGAAGCAUGUAUGUAACCUUCAUAGAAUAAAGCAACAGCCCAGUUUUUAAAGGUAGUGUGUACUCUGGAAUUUCUACUUUAGAAAUGGUUUAUAUGAGUCACCACCUGCUGAGGUCUUUCAGAGGAGGAAGGGACAUUGGUGAUAUUGAAUUUAACCUUACAUGAGACACUGUAGAAAUUGAAUCUGUUGGUUCUAAUGGAGUGAAAUAUGUUUAUUGGAUUUACUAGCACUGGCAGAAACACUGUAUUGCUCAAUUUAAAAUCCUCUGAGUGCUUAAAUAAUCCAGCUGAC
RNAcentral lists this long non-coding RNA (536 nucleotides) under Gallus gallus (chicken). Lineage: Eukaryota; Metazoa; Chordata; Aves; Galliformes; Phasianidae. The record is from RNAcentral.